This 103-nucleotide microRNA precursor is filed under the name Marmota monax (woodchuck). Lineage: Eukaryota; Metazoa; Chordata; Mammalia; Rodentia; Sciuridae. The record is from RNAcentral.
AGUGGAAUAGCUGGGUCAUAUGGUGGUUCCAUUCCUAUAUUUUUAAGGAAUCUCCAUUCUGCUUUCCAGAAUGGUUGGACUGAUUUGCAAUCCCACCAACAAU